CUUGGUCAUUUAGAGGAAGUAAAAGUCGUAACAAGGUCUCCGUUGGCGAACCAGCGGAGGGAUCAUUACCGAGUUUACAACUCCCAAACCCCUGUGAACAUACCACUUGUUGCCUCGGCGGAUCAGCCCGCUCCCGGUAAAACGGGACGGCCCGCCAGAGGACCCCUAAACUCUGUUUCUAUAUGUAACUUCUGAGUAAAACCAUAAAUAAAUCAAAACUUUCAACAACGGAUCUCUUGGUUCUGGCAUCGAUGAAGAACGCAGCAAAAUGCGAUAAGUAAUGUGAAUUGCAGAAUUCAGUGAAUCAUCGAAUCUUUGAACGCACAUUGCGCCCGCCAGUAUUCUGGCGGGCAUGCCUGUUCGAGCGUCAUUUCAACCCUCAAGCACAGCUUGGUGUUGGGACUCGCGUUAAUUCGCGUUCCCCGAAUUGAUUGGCGGUCACGUCGAGCUUCCAUAGCGUAGUAGUAAAACCCUCGUUACUGGUAAUCGUCGCGGCCACGCCGUUAAACCCCAACUUCUGAAUGUUGACCUCGGAUCAGGUAGGAAUACCCGCUGAACUUAAGCAUAUCAAUAAGCGGAGGA
This 582-nucleotide ribosomal RNA is filed under the name uncultured fungus. RNAcentral's name for it is "eukaryotic LSU rRNA". The stretch from base 217 to 370 matches the Rfam family "5.8S ribosomal RNA". The record is from RNAcentral. Lineage: Eukaryota; Fungi.